RNAcentral lists this ribosomal RNA (500 nucleotides) under uncultured bacterium. RNAcentral describes it as "partial 16S ribosomal RNA". It matches the Rfam family "Bacterial small subunit ribosomal RNA", at positions 28 to 523 of the family's 1533-position model. The record is from RNAcentral.
GACGAACGCUGGCGGCGUGCCUAAUACAUGCAAGUCGAGCGGACCUCUUCGGAGGUCAGCGGCGGACGGGUGAGUAACACGUGGGCAACCUGCCUGUAAGACUGGGAUAACUCCGGGCAACCGGAGCUAAUACCGGAUACUAUGUCAAACUGAAUGGUUUGACAUUCAAAGACGGUUUCGGCUGUCACUUACAGAUGGGCCCGCGGCGCAUUAGCUAGUUGGUAGGGUAAUGGCUCACCAAGGCGACGAUGCGUAGCCGACCCGAGAGGGUGAUCGGCCACACUGGGACUGAGACACGGCCCAGACUCCUACGGGAGGCAGCAGUAGGGUAUCUUCCGCAAUGGACGAAAGUCUGACGGAGCAACGCCGCGUGAGUGAUGAAGGUUUUCGGAUCGUAAAACUCUGUUGUCAGGGAAGAACAAGUGCCGGAGUAACUGCCGGCACCUUGACGGUACCUGACCAGAAAGCCACGACUAACUACGUGCCAGCCGCCGCCGUAA